This 60-nucleotide ribosomal RNA is filed under the name Sicyos palmatilobus. RNAcentral's name for it is "partial 25S ribosomal RNA". It matches the Rfam family "Eukaryotic large subunit ribosomal RNA", at positions 1 to 62 of the family's 3401-position model. The record is from RNAcentral. Lineage: Eukaryota; Viridiplantae; Streptophyta; Magnoliopsida; Cucurbitales; Cucurbitaceae.
ACCCCAGGUCAGGCGGGACUACCCGCUGAAUUUAAGCAUAUCAAUAAGCGGAGGAAAAGA